Molecule: unclassified non-coding RNA, 305 nt
Filed under: Hevea brasiliensis (rubber tree)
Lineage: Eukaryota; Viridiplantae; Streptophyta; Magnoliopsida; Malpighiales; Euphorbiaceae
Source: RNAcentral
ACCAAAACCACGAGCACGGCCAGUGAUUCGAUCUUUCAUGAUCACAGCUUCAACUACAUCACCAAAAGCUUGAAAAUAUUCUCUGAGCCUAUCAUCAUUUGUGUCCCAAGAAAUCCCUCCAACAAAUACUUUGCCACUCUCCAUUUCCUCUCAAAAAGAUGAAGGCCCAGAUUGAGAAAAAAAAAGGAUUGAAAUUCAAGAUCUGCUAGAGAGGCAUAAAGCAAAAGGGUAGAGGGCUAAAAUGCCCUCUUUAUCUUUUUCCUCUUUAUUAUUUUUUGCUUCUUCCUAAGAUUUUUCAGUUUUGG